GUGCCAGACAGAAGGUAAAAGUCAGAAGAAGAAGAAGUAAAAGAAAGAAGGAGCUCUGGCCGAAUCAAGUCGGCCACCAUCCAAUAAGCGGGCUUCACCCCGACGACAAAGUUCAAGGUCGAGUUACAGUAGGUAUGACUCCUAUACUUCUCUUUCUGCUCCUCAUGCAUAGAUCCUCAUGGAGAUCGAAGGAGCGAAACAUCUACAACACCCCCCACCGAUGAAGGCAUUGCCGAGAAAUCACUAUCGAAAGAAAUAUUAUCGGUUCUAUCGUGAUCACGGUCACGAUAUCGAAUAAUGUAUUCAGCUCAGGGAUGAGAUAGAAGCUCUGAUUCGAUGAGGCUAUCUCGGCAAAUAUCAGAGAGAUCCACCGACUCAACCUCCU
This 385-nucleotide long non-coding RNA is filed under the name Elaeis guineensis (African oil palm). RNAcentral describes it as "long non-coding RNA (EGUI_LNC077106)". Lineage: Eukaryota; Viridiplantae; Streptophyta; Magnoliopsida; Arecales; Arecaceae. The record is from RNAcentral.